GAUGAACGCUGGCGGCGUGCUUAACACAUGCAAGUCGAGCGAGAAGUUUUGAAAAGAUUCUUCGGAUGAAAUUUAAAAUGGAAAGCGGCGGACGGGUGAGUAACGCGUAGGCAACCUGCCCCAUACAAAGGGAUAGCAUUUGGAAACGAAUAUUAAUACCUUAUGAAACUUAACUAGUGCAUGCUAGGUAGGUCAAAGAUUUAUCGGUAUGGGAUGGGCCUGCGUCUGAUUAGCUAGUUGGUGAGGUAACGGCUCACCAAGGCGACGAUCAGUAGCCGACCUGAGAGGGUGAACGGCCACAUUGGAACUGAGACACGGUCCAAACUCCUACGGGAGGCAGCAGUGGGGAAUAUUGCACAAUGGGGGAAACCCUGAUGCAGCAACGCCGCGUGAACGAUGAAGGCCUUUGGGUCGUAAAGUUCUGUUCUAGGUGAUGAAAACUGACAGUAACCUAGGAGAAAGCCCCGGCUAACUCCGUGCCAGCAGCCGCGGUAAUACGGAGGGGGCAAGCGUUAUCCGGAAUUAUUGGGCGUAAAGGGUACGUAGGUGGCCUUUUAAGCGUAGGGUAUAAGGCAAUGGCUCAACCAUUGUUCGCCCUAUGAACUGGAAGGCUUGAGUGCAGGAGAGGGAAGCGGAAUUCCUAGUGUAGCGGUGGAAUGCAUAGAUAUUAGGAGGAACAUCAGCGGCGAAGGCGGCUUUCUGGACUGCAACUGACACUGAGGUACGAAAGCGUGGGGAGCAAACAGG
RNAcentral lists this ribosomal RNA (747 nucleotides) under uncultured bacterium. Its description in RNAcentral is "bacterial SSU rRNA". It matches the Rfam family "Bacterial small subunit ribosomal RNA", at positions 28 to 776 of the family's 1533-position model. The record is from RNAcentral.